NNNNACCUCAGAUCAGACAAGACUACCCGCUGAAUUUAAGCAUAUUAAUAAGCGGAGGAAAAGAAACUAACAAGGAUUCCCCUAGUAACGGCGAGUGAAGCGGGAAUAGCUCAAACUUAAAAUCUCUGUUGCUUGCAACAGCGAAUUGUAGUCUCGAGAAGCGUUUUCAAGAUGGAUAUACAGUGCUCAAGUUGCUUGGAACGGCACAUCGUAGAGGGUGACAAUCCCGUACGUGGCACUGUAUACUGUUCACGAUGCGCUUUCUAUGAGUCGGGUUGCUUGGGAAUGCAGCCCAAAAUGGGAGGUAAACUCCUUCUAAAGCUAAAUAUUGGCACGAGACCGAUAGCGAACAAGUACCGUGAGGGAAAGA
Molecule: ribosomal RNA, 370 nt
Filed under: Leuckartiara octona
Lineage: Eukaryota; Metazoa; Cnidaria; Hydrozoa; Anthoathecata; Pandeidae
Description: eukaryotic LSU rRNA
Rfam family: Eukaryotic large subunit ribosomal RNA
Source: RNAcentral